GCAUUGGUAGUUCAGUGGUAGAAUUCUUGCCUUCCAUACAUGAGACCAGGGUUUGAUUCCCAGCCAGUGCA
This is a non-coding RNA of Orycteropus afer afer, 71 nucleotides long. Lineage: Eukaryota; Metazoa; Chordata; Mammalia; Tubulidentata; Orycteropodidae. The record is from the annotation of a RefSeq genome assembly.